GACGAACGCUGGCGGCGUGCUUAACACAUGCAAGUCGAACGGAAAGGCCCUGCUUUUGUGGGGUGCUCGAGUGGCGAACGGGUGAGUAACACGUGAGUAACCUGCCCUUGACUUUGGGAUAACUCCAGGAAACUGGGGCUAAUACCGGGUAGGAGCUCCUGCUGCAUGGUGGGGGUUGGAAAGUUUCGGCGGUUGGGGAUGGACUCGCGGCUUAUCAGCUUGUUGGUGGGGUAGUGGCUUACCAAGGCUUUGACGGGUAGCCGGCCUGAGAGGGUGACCGGCGACAUUGGGACUGAGAGACGGCCCAGACUCCUACGGGAGGCAGCAGUGGGGAAUAUUGCACAAUGGGCGGAAGCCUGAUGCAGCAACGCCGCGUGCGGGAUGACGGCCUUCGGGUUGUAAACCGCUUUCGCCUGUGACGAAGCGUGAGUGACGGUAAUGGGUAAAGAAGCACCGGCUAACUACGUG
This 468-nucleotide ribosomal RNA is filed under the name uncultured bacterium. Its description in RNAcentral is "partial 16S ribosomal RNA". It matches the Rfam family "Bacterial small subunit ribosomal RNA", at positions 28 to 507 of the family's 1533-position model. The record is from RNAcentral.